RNAcentral lists this ribosomal RNA (1344 nucleotides) under uncultured bacterium. RNAcentral describes it as "bacterial SSU rRNA". It matches the Rfam family "Bacterial small subunit ribosomal RNA", at positions 28 to 1381 of the family's 1533-position model. The record is from RNAcentral.
GACGAACGCUGGCGGCGUGCUUAACACAUGCAAGUCGAACGAUGAAGCCCAGCUUGCUGGGUGGAUUAGUGGCGAACGGGUGAGUAACACGUGAGUAACCUGCCCUUGACUCUGGGAUAAGCGCUGGAAACGGCGUCUAAUACCGGAUACGACCUGCCCCGGCAUCGGGUGCGGGUGGAAAGUUUUUCGGUCAAGGAUGGACUCGCGGCCUAUCAGGUAGUUGGUGAGGUAAUGGCUCACCAAGCCGACGACGGGUAGCCGGCCUGAGAGGGUGACCGGCCACACUGGGACUGAGACACGGCCCAGACUCCUACGGGAGGCAGCAGUGGGGAAUAUUGCACAAUGGGCGAAAGCCUGAUGCAGCAACGCCGCGUGGGGGAUGACGGCCUUCGGGUUGUAAACCUCUUUUAGUAGGGAAGAAGGGCUUCGGCUUGACGGUACCUGCAGAAAAAGCACCGGCUAACUACGUGCCAGCAGCCGCGGUAAUACGUAGGGUGCAAGCGUUGUCCGGAAUUAUUGGGCGUAAAGAGCUCGUAGGCGGUUUGUCGCGUCUGCUGUGAAAACCCGAGGCUCAACCUCGGGCCUGCAGUGGGUACGGGCAGACUAGAGUGCGGUAGGGGAGAAUGGAAUUCCUGGUGUAGCGGUGGAAUGCGCAGAUAUCAGGAGGAACACCGAUGGCGAAGGCAGUUCUCUGGGCCGUUACUGACGCUGAGGAGCGAAAGCGUGGGGAGCGAACAGGAUUAGAUACCCUGGUAGUCCACGCCGUAAACGUUGGGAACUAGAUGUGGGGACCUUUCCACGGUCUCCGUGUCGCAGCUAACGCAUUAAGUUCCCCGCCUGGGGAGUACGGCCGCAAGGCUAAAACUCAAAGGAAUUGACGGGGGCCCGCACAAGCGGCGGAGCAUGCGGAUUAAUUCGAUGCAACGCGAAGAACCUUACCAAGGCUUGACAUAUACCGGAAACUUCCAGAAAUGGUUGCCCCGCAAGGUCGGUAUACAGGUGGUGCAUGGUUGUCGUCAGCUCGUGUCGUGAGAUGUUGGGUUAAGUCCCGCAACGAGCGCAACCCUCGUUCUAUGUUGCCAGCACGUCAUGGUGGGAACUCAUAGGAGACUGCCGGGGUCAACUCGGAGGAAGGUGAGGAUGACGUCAAAUCAUCAUGCCCCUUAUGUCUUGGGCUUCACGCAUGCUACAAUGGCCGGUACAAAGGGCUGCGAUACCGUAAGGUGGAGCGAAUCCCAAAAAGCCGGUCUCAGUUCGGAUUGAGGUCUGCAACUCGACCUCAUGAAGUCGGAGUCGCUAGUAAUCGCAGAUCAGCAACGCUGCGGUGAAUACGUUCCCGGGCCU